UAAAAUUCUAGCUACCAUCCUCAGUGUUUUAUAUGCCUGAUAAAACUGAAAACAUUAAUUAUGAUUAUAAAAGCUAUCUACUCUGUAUUGAGUUUGUUCAAAAUGAGUUAGACCCUUGUUGAGAGAUUUAUCAUGCUCCUAAGAUAAAGACAUUUAUUCAGAAAGAUUCACUCUUCCGAAGUAUUAUUGCAUUAGAGGCAUGGGCUAUGCAAAAAUAGAGAUAUUUCGAGGAAAUAAAAAGGAGCAAGUGCUUGACAACAUCGC
This 264-nucleotide long non-coding RNA is filed under the name Sorghum bicolor (sorghum). Its description in RNAcentral is "long non-coding RNA (SBIC_LNC015755)". The record is from RNAcentral. Lineage: Eukaryota; Viridiplantae; Streptophyta; Magnoliopsida; Poales; Poaceae.